AGGGGGACAACUCCCAAUUGCCAACCAUGUUGCCGUCUCAGAGAGACUCCAGCAUGAAGUUUCAGUCAUCCAUGGGAAAAACCCCCUCUUCUCUGUAUGCUUUAUUUAGUUUUCUCCCUUCCCUCUCCCUUUCCUCUCACUUCCCUACUCCUUCACCCUGCUUCUUGGGAUCGCCUCUUCAACAAACUAUUCAAGCCCAAAUCUUUGUCUCAAGGUGUGCUUUUGGGGGGAACCCAAACUAAGACAACAGACAAUAGCUGUGUCUUAAACUGUGAAUAUACAUACAUGAAGGCUGGAGCCUCAGUGGCCAUCUGGGGCCAGGAGACACCAAUGAAGUGUUUGAAGGCACAGUCUUCAGUAGGUGCUCAGGAAGAAGGUGAGAUGAAAAAGACCUGGAGAUCGUGCCCUCAAGCUGCUAAUCAUUUACUGGGAGUGGCUGGAUAUGGAUAGAAAGAACCAUAAUAGGUGGUUCAGCAUCAGGAGCUGAGCUGAACACCUCUCAGAGGCUCUACUGUAAGCUGUUAACGGGAGGCUGAUUCCUCCUGGGGAGAGAGAUGGCUACAGGGAGAGAAACAUGCUUUCCAGUUUCACCCUUUCGCACCUAAAAUAAGAAGGGGCGGGGGAGAACCACUGUCUUUUCUGGUAGCUACUCCAUUCCUACUGGUUCAAUUCCAACUGACGAUGACUGAAAGCCUCCAGCCUUUUCCAUAGGCACCGCUCUCAAGCCACACUUCCUUCAUCCUGUGCUUGUGCAGCCGAUUAAAAAAAUAAAAGAAAAUCGAAAUGCAGGUCUUUCCGAGACUGGAAAAUGCUAUGCUGCUGGCUUUGAGGAUGGAUGAAGCCAGAGGCCAAGGAACACAGUAGCCUGGAGAAGCUUGAAACCGGCCUGGCAUAUGUUCCCCUGGGGCCUCCAGAAGAAAUGCAGCCUUGCCAACACCUGGAUUUUAACCCUGUAAGACGUAUCCUCAGGCUUCUGGCCUACAGAAACGUAAGACGAUGAAUGUGCACUGUUUUAAGCUAAAGUAAAUAGAUUGAAUACAUGCAAGUCUUUGCACUGUGGGUUCAUGGUUGCUUUCAGCCCUGUUUCAAGAUAUUUUAGAAUCUUGUUGCUGACAUCCAAAUGUUAACUUUCCCUCCCAAUAGUAGUGCCAUCUGCCAAUGUGGGGAGUGUGGCAGGCACAGGAGGGAAACUACUGAGCUGACCAAAUGCAGGGUCAGGAGCAUGAAACUUUAACCCUUCCGCCCAGGUGCACAUCCAGUGAGCAACCAACUCCACGCACCGUGGCACUUGGGCAAUACAUCCACCUGGCUGGGUGCUCUCAGUUGUCUCCUCAAUCAGGAAACGUUCAAUGUCUAACUGGAAAUGAGGCACACCACGUCCAGGGAAUUUCCUAGUGGCCAUCCAAAUAAAUAAUAAAUUAU
Molecule: long non-coding RNA, 1422 nt
Organism: Canis lupus familiaris (dog)
Lineage: Eukaryota; Metazoa; Chordata; Mammalia; Carnivora; Canidae
Exons: 3
Source: RefSeq, a predicted model, not a curated record